AGAGAGUUCAAGAGUACGUGAAACCGUUUAGGGGUAAACCUGAGAAACCCGAAAGGUCGAAGGGAGAAAUUCAUUCGCGUCUCGAGGCAGGCGUCGGACGGGGUCGAGCGACGGAACGGGCGCGCGUUUUUCUUCGGAAUCGCGCGUUCGACUUCGCGCCCUCCGUCCGUUCGAACCGGCAGCGAACGCGUGCACUUUUCUCCUGGUAGGACGUCGCGAUCCGUCGGGCGUCGGUCUACGACUUGCGGCGGAGACCGUCCGUCGUUCUUCGGAACGUACGGCGCGGACCCGCUCGUUCCGGCCGACUCGCUCGACGGUACAAAUCGAGGUCUGGGGUCGCUGCUACUUUUAGUCUCGCGUUCGCGCGCGAGACGAAAAAGAGAGCGUUCGACUCGUCGCAAGCGCGUCACGUGCGUCGGCACGCGGACCCGGUGCCGCGUCCGAUCUCUGGCGACUGUUGGCGACGAUUAGUUCUCGAACAGACUUCCCUCUCGGGGGGGGAGAGAGGGGUCAAACUCUUUCUCUCUCUCUCGAAGACCGAUCGGCGACGCUAUAGCUUUGGGUACUUUCAGGACCCGUCUUG
RNAcentral lists this ribosomal RNA (583 nucleotides) under Euwallacea kuroshio. RNAcentral describes it as "partial large subunit ribosomal RNA". Lineage: Eukaryota; Metazoa; Arthropoda; Insecta; Coleoptera; Curculionidae. The record is from RNAcentral.